AAUACGUUCCCGGGCUUGUACACACCGCCCGUCAAGUCACGAAAGUCGGUAACACCCGAAGCCGGUGGCCUAACCCGUAAGGGGAGGAGCCGUCGAAGGUGGGACUGGCGAUUGGGACU
Molecule: ribosomal RNA, 119 nt
Filed under: uncultured bacterium
Lineage: Bacteria
Description: partial 16S ribosomal RNA
Rfam family: Bacterial small subunit ribosomal RNA
Source: RNAcentral